UCUUCGAUGGUCUAGUGGUCAUGAUUUCCGCUUGUCAAAAGUUGCUUCUGACUUUCACAAGCGCGGGAGACCGGGGUUCGAUUCCCCGUCGGAGAG
Non-coding RNA from Decorospora gaudefroyi, 96 nucleotides. The record is from the annotation of a GenBank genome assembly. Lineage: Eukaryota; Fungi; Ascomycota; Dothideomycetes; Pleosporales; Pleosporaceae.